Molecule: long non-coding RNA, 1183 nt
Organism: Monodelphis domestica (gray short-tailed opossum)
Lineage: Eukaryota; Metazoa; Chordata; Mammalia; Didelphimorphia; Didelphidae
Source: RefSeq, a predicted model, not a curated record
CCAAGGAAGAGGAAGAUAAACUCCUUAUCUGCGUAAAGUGGCUCCAGGUCUACAGCGAGGCUGGUUACUGUUAAUAAUAUUAUCAACAACAACCACAAGGAUAAUAAUAAACUUGGGCUUUUGGAAACGAGCAGUUCUGGCACAAGUUGGGGGAAAGCUCACUCCAUAACGGUGUCAGAAAGAACCGGAGGUUUUAGUGACCUCGAUUCUUUAUAUGAGUCCACUGUAGUCUUCCUCAGGCAAAGAAAGAUGAGGAGAUCCCGGGUGAGGGAGGGGAUAGUCCAUAUCGAUUCUAGCCAGUUAGAUCUGGUCGAGAUGGGAGGGACUCCAGAAGCUCAAGUUCAUCAGCACCACCUUCCACUUUCUCUUAUUUGACAGGUUGGGAAACUGAGGCACCAAGAACAUAAGCAGCAAAUGCCCAAUCAAGUCUGAAGCAGGAUUGGAAACCAGAUCUUCUUGCCUCCAACUCUAGUGCUCUACCCACCACACCAUGCUGCUCUUCCAUUAGGUCCAAUCCUCUCAUUCUUAGAGCCAAAGAGGAACAUGAAUAGCCAAGGUAACCCGUGACCUGCAGAAAUCUCAAACUCCAAAGUUGAGGAAUGUAAAAGAGUUAUGGCCUGGCCAAGAAGAAGUCUGAUGGGACAAAAAGAGUGCUGGCUUUGGAAGCCAAAGAUAUGGUUUUCUGUGACCUUGGACCUCGCUGGGCCUCAGUUUUCCCAUCUAGAAAAUAAGAGGGCUGGAUUAGGUGGACCCCAAGAUCUUGUUCAGCUCCAAAUCUUUUGUCUGUAUAGAAAUCCAGGUUUGUAACCAUACAUGUAUACAAAAUGCAAACAAAUACUUCUUUAAAGGUGUUUGUGGGGGGAAAAAAUUAAGGUAUUGGUGGGCUUUAAAAAGACUUGUGGGGAGUCUAACCCAGGGGAAUUGCUUGUCAGCUCUGGGAGAGGAGAGGGAAGAGGAGGGACUCAUGAAUCAUGGAACCAUGGAAAAAUAUUCUAAAUAAAUAAAAAUUUUAAAAAUAAAAUAAAAUAAAAAAUACUUGUGGGGGACAACUGAAUGGCUCAGUGGAUUGAGAGCCAGGUCCAGAGAAUGGAGGUUCAAAUCUGAACUCAGACACUUCCUAGUUGUGUGACCCUGGGUAAGUCACUUAACUCCUAUUGCCUAGUCCUGACUGUUCUUCUGCCUU